CAAAUUUGUUACAAAAAUGCCAACGAAGGUUAAUCUCGGGUAAUCUAAUUCCGUUUCCUGGUGUUUUCUUUUUUCUUUUUUUCUUCCACUCGGCUCCACCUACAGAGAGGCCCAACAGGGGGCUCGCGCGCUCGUUUGGGCUCGGCGGCCGGAGAAGACCGGCGCACUGGGCCGAAGCCGCUCCGCCAAGGUUGGGUCGUGGCUGCCGGGACUCGUCGCCAGAAGGCCUCCUGGGCCGCCCUUCCGCUCUCCCGGGGCUGGGCGGCGCUGUCUGGCUCUUCCUGCCGCGCUCCGGCCACUCCCCCACCGCCCCUCGCUUGGCCCAGCCGUGGCUGCCGUGCUCUGCACGCAGUGCCUCCCUCGGGCGUGGGUCUGCAGGUGCAACCCCGACUCCUCCCUGAGCCCCGCAAGGCAGCCCUGGGGUGCUCCCGGCAGGGUUGCCCGACUGACCCUGCCCUUGUUUUGUGUUGCAGGAGACCCAGACAGGGCAGCGGCCGGCACUACCGCGCCGCGAUUUGCACAGAGUUGAAGAAGACCCUGACCAUUGAAGAGGUGGCCCCCCGCCCCGUCGGGCUCACGAGGUAAUAUAGCUGCUGCUGGAAGUGACGAGAAGUGCAAGGUGGCGGUGCAGAGGGGUGCGCAGUCCAGCGUGAACUACAGUUAGAGCAGGCUGAAGGAGGCAGUGAGGAAGCUGGUGGACUAGGGCAGGGUGAAUGUGGCCAUCGACAUGGUGGGAGGAGACAUCUGCCUGAAGGCUGUCCUCAGGUACGUGAUGGUCUGUCUAGAGUGGACUAGAGCUGAAACCUUUCCUGAUCUCUGCCUUCCUUCUGGCCUUGCUUCUCUCUCAUCUUUGCUGUUCACUUCUCCUGUAGGCAUCAGCAUCAACGAGAACAGCGAGUGGGUGGGUGAAAAGGAAUAGAAGCAGAGAAAAUCAGGAAAUGCUUAUAUAUAGCAAAAACAAAAUACCCAACUGGAAAAUAUCCAAAAAAAUGACUGCAGACUCUCUAGUUGGCAAUGCCAAAUGCUUUAGAAAUUAUUCAUGUGUUAAAUACAGCUAUGCCAGUUCCCACUAACAACUUUAUAUCCAUGUCUGUGGGGAAUUCUUGCAGAGGGCAUUGUUCAGCUGUUAGAAUUACUGGGGUGGCAGUUCCCUUUUUCCCAGGUCACUGUGGACCAAGGUACAGGCUCUUCUGAUCUUACUGCUUUCUGAAGCAGCCAGCAGCGUAGGUAAUUCCUUGACUUGUUUUAUUUAAAAAAUAUCACUGGAGAUUUAGUAGGAGUGUUGUAUCACACCAAUUCUCAUUCCAUUUUCAACCAAGGAUUCUGGAGUACUCUGAUAGCGUUGGUUUCAUUUCUUAUGUCAUCCUGGCAAGCAUAAUUUUGUAGUUUAUCUCUUUAUCUUAGUUUCAGGUAGAAGUCGCAGAAGCAGAGACAGUAGCCUAUCCACAAAAGAGAUCCAGUUGGUUCUCUAGCCCCUGAGCUGGGUGGCAGGCAGUCUCUAUGUUUGCUCACCUCUGCACCGUACCUGGUGCUGUGCUUAGAGAAGAAGCAAAGGAAGGAGUGUGUAGUCCAAGUGGAAAG
Cercocebus atys (sooty mangabey) is the source of this 1581-nucleotide long non-coding RNA. The record is from Ensembl. NCBI's taxonomy places the organism in Eukaryota, Metazoa, Chordata, Mammalia, Primates, Cercopithecidae.